GACAGAGGGUGCAAACGUUGCUCGGAAUCACUGGGCGUAAAGGGCGUGUAGGCGGGAAGGAAAGUCGGGCGUAAAAUCCCUGGGCUCAACCCAGGAACUGCACUCGAAACUUCUUUUCUUGAGUGCCGGAGAGGAAAGCGGAAUUCCUGGUGUAGAGGUGAAAUUCGUAGAUAUCAGGAGGAACACCAGUGGCGAAGGCGGCUUUCUGGACGGUAACUGACGCUGAGAACGGCGAAAGCGUGGGGAGCAAACAGG
Molecule: ribosomal RNA, 255 nt
Filed under: uncultured bacterium
Lineage: Bacteria
Description: partial 16S ribosomal RNA
Rfam family: Bacterial small subunit ribosomal RNA
Source: RNAcentral